AUUGAACGCUGGCGGCAGGCCUAACACAUGCAAGUCGAGCGGAUGAAGGGAGCUUGCUCCUGGAUUCAGCGGCGGACGGGUGAGUAAUGCCUAGGAAUCUGCCUGGUAGUGGGGGAUAACGUCCGGAAACGGGCGCUAAUACCGCAUACGUCCUGAGGGAGAAAGUGGGGGAUCUUCGGACCUCACGCUAUCAGAUGAGCCUAGGUCGGAUUAGCUAGUUGGUGGGGUAAAGGCCUACCAAAGCGACGAUCCGUAACUGGUCUGAGAGGAUGAUCAGUCACACUGGAACUGAGACACGGUCCAGACUCCUACGGGAGGCAGCAGUGGGGAAUAUUGGACAAUGGGCGAAAGCCUGAUCCAGCCAUGCCGCGUGUGUGAAGAAGGUCUUCGGAUUGUAAAGCACUUUAAGUUGGGAGGAAGGGCAGUAAGUUAAUACCUUGCUGUUUUGACGUUACCAACAGAAUAAGCACCGGCUAACUUCGUG
RNAcentral lists this ribosomal RNA (484 nucleotides) under uncultured bacterium. Its description in RNAcentral is "partial 16S ribosomal RNA". It matches the Rfam family "Bacterial small subunit ribosomal RNA", at positions 30 to 507 of the family's 1533-position model. The record is from RNAcentral.